Molecule: ribosomal RNA, 217 nt
Filed under: fungal sp.
Lineage: Eukaryota; Fungi
Description: partial small subunit ribosomal RNA
Rfam family: Eukaryotic small subunit ribosomal RNA
Source: RNAcentral
UUUUGGAGGGAAAUUGUGGUGCCAGCAGCUAGGGUAAUUCUAGUUCCAAUAGGGUAUAUUAAAGUUGUUGCAUGUUAAAAAGCUCGUAGUUGAAUUUCGGGGGUUCUACGUUGGUCCAGGCAAUUGUCUGUACUGGCCUGUAUAAUUCCUCCCUUUUGGGGAACUAUCAUGUUAUUAAUUUGGCGUGGCAGGAAACCAGGACCUUACCUUGAAAAAA